RNAcentral lists this ribosomal RNA (177 nucleotides) under uncultured bacterium. RNAcentral's name for it is "partial 16S ribosomal RNA". It matches the Rfam family "Bacterial small subunit ribosomal RNA", at positions 1324 to 1500 of the family's 1533-position model. The record is from RNAcentral.
AGUCGGAAUCGCUAGUAAUCGCGGAUCAGCAUGCCGCGGUGAAUACGUUCCCGGGCCUUGUACACACCGCCCGUCACACCAUGAGAGUCGGGAACACCCGAAGCCCGUAGCCUAACCGCAAGGGGGGCGCGGUCGAAGGUGGGUUCGAUAAUUGGGGUGAAGUCGUAACAAGGUACC